UACGAGAGGCCCAACCGUUAUUCGGAUUUACUGGGCUUAAAGAGUUCGUAGGCCGCGCGGAAAGUAGGGUGUGAAAGCCCUCGGCUCAACCGAGGAACUGCGCUCUAAACUACCGUGCUUGAGGAACCUAGAGGUGAGCAGAACUGAUGGUGGAGCGGUGAAAUGCGCAGAUAUCAGGAGGAACACCGGUGGCGAAGGCGGGACUCUGGGCCGAUACUGACGCUGAGGAGCGAAAGCGUGGGGAGCAAACAGG
Molecule: ribosomal RNA, 253 nt
Filed under: uncultured bacterium
Lineage: Bacteria
Description: partial 16S ribosomal RNA
Rfam family: Bacterial small subunit ribosomal RNA
Source: RNAcentral